This 493-nucleotide ribosomal RNA is filed under the name uncultured bacterium. RNAcentral describes it as "partial 16S ribosomal RNA". It matches the Rfam family "Bacterial small subunit ribosomal RNA", at positions 28 to 523 of the family's 1533-position model. The record is from RNAcentral.
GACGAACGCUGGCGGCGUGCUUAACACAUGCAAGUCGAACGCUGAAGCCCUUUCGGGGGUGGAUGAGUGGCGAACGGGUGAGUAACACGUGGGUAAUCUGCCCUGUACUUCGGGAUAAGCCUUGGAAACGGGGUCUAAUACCGGGUAGGACCUGUCCUCGCAUGGGGGUGGGUGGAAAGUUCCGGCGGUAUGGGAUGAGCCCGCGGCCUAUCAGCUUGUUGGUGGGGUAGUGGCCUACCAAGGCGACGACGGGUAGCCGGCCUGAGAGGGUGACCGGUCACACUGGGACUGAGACACGGACCAGACUCCUACGGGAGGCAGCAGUGGGGAAUCUUGCGCAAUGGGCGAAAGCCUGACGCAGCAACGCCGCGUGGGGGAUGACGGCCUUCGGGUUGUAAACCUCUGUCGACAUCGACGAAGGGGCCCUGUUGUGGGGUUUUGACGGUAGGUGUAGAAGAAGCACCGGCUAACUACGUGCCAGCCGCCGCGGUAA